ACCUCCACCUCCACCAUUCGGACCGAUCUCGCCGCCUGCUGGACGCGACGGCGGCGGCGCCCGCGCGAUGUCUCCCACUCCGCGUCCUCGCUUCCUGGCCGCGUCCGUUUCCUUUCGUCUCUGGUUUUGCAGCCGCCGGCCUGGGCGGCCUCCGCCACCCAUGACGGGCUCGCCUGGAAGGUGUUCGACGAAAUGCGCGCGAGUCACCACGGGCUGUUGCCUGUUUGGCGUUCUGGGAUGGGAAGCCAGGCGCUUCGUUUACUAUCUGCGAGGAAAGCCGUGGGCAUUCCCAUGUCGAAUUCGCAGGCUAGCUGUAUACUAAUGCUCCGUGCUAGCGUCGUCCUCACCGUGCCGGGUUGUGGUGCCGUUGAGCCAACUGAUGGAGCAGUGGCCAGUGGCGUAAACCUGAUCCUUUGGGUCAUGGGAGCUGAUCAAAAUGCAGAUCCGUUGAACAAUAUCUUCGACCAAUCUCUAAACAUGUAA
Molecule: long non-coding RNA, 483 nt
Filed under: Oryza sativa Indica Group (long-grained rice)
Lineage: Eukaryota; Viridiplantae; Streptophyta; Magnoliopsida; Poales; Poaceae
Description: lncRNA OsMH63_04G007370
Source: RNAcentral